This is a long non-coding RNA of Pezoporus flaviventris, 1385 nucleotides long. RefSeq lists it as uncharacterized. NCBI's taxonomy places the organism in Eukaryota, Metazoa, Chordata, Aves, Psittaciformes, Psittacidae. The transcript is spliced from 2 exons. The record is from RefSeq and is a predicted model, not a curated record.
UUGGAGCAAACAAUCUCCUGAGGUCCCUUCCAACCUGGGCUGUUCAUUGAUUCUCUGUAGUCAAAGGAAUAACCAGACUGUUUAGGGACUGGUGGAAAAUGUCUCAUAGCAUGUUUGUAGGAAGUGGGGAAAGCAUAAAACAGAUCAUGUCGUAACUGGAAUCUGUUUGCACUCUCUUCUUCAUGGCAAAGCAAGUCAGUCCUCUGUGGGCUUUCUAAACCAAAUGAGUUACGGCCUUGAACAGUAAUGUGGUAUUGCUAAUGAUUUUAUUGCUGACCACAGCUGCUGGCAGUAAGGCUAGCAUUGUCAUUUCAUUUCUGAUAUAGUUUUGAGGCGUUUUGCUUAUUAAAUUAGUGGACUCGUUUUACGUACUGUUCAAGAUAUAAUCUUGAAUUAACGAAUUUGGAUAGUGCAGGUUAAGGCCUAUAAGCUUAUGUUCCUUCUUGCUUGGUGCAGGUGAUGACACACAACGGGUUGUUAGAAGUAACUGUUGAGAUUACUUUUCUGUAUGAAUUUAGAGGCCUGAAAUUAAAAGAGUGUAAGUGCAAGAAGCCAUGGGGGGGCUUCUUAAUACCAUCUGCUUUGCCAAAAUACUCCCUGCAUGAAGCACAAAUCUGUUCCUUGGUACCACUCUUCCCAGGUUUUUGGCCCUAAUCUGAAUCGAACAAAGUAAAUACCUGAGUUAAGGAAUAAAGGUUGGAAAAUUUUGAGCCGUUUGAAGAUUUUUUGAGAUCUUGAUUUGCACCCCCACCUUCCCCAGCAGCUUUAUGUGCUUUGCAAUGCUUAAGAAGCAAUGUGGUUCAGACUAGGAGUGAAAUGCGGUCCAUCAUCUACUAAUGCACUGACAAAUUCAGGGUGAAGUUAAACUGUGGAAGACGGAUCGUCUCGAGUUAUGACAAGACCAGACUGGAAAUUCCUGCCCUGUUUUUAAAGGGGUGCCGCUCACAAAAAAAUGGCAGUGAACUACCAAACCAGAAAAUCAAAACUAAGCCAGCAUCUUUUCACUGUAUUUGAGUUCUGAGUUCCAUGGAAUCAUGGAGGAGUUAAUUCCUAUAAAUACUGGAAGAGGGUCUGAUCAGAGACAGAUGUGCUGGAUCAGAGAGCAGCUGUGGUGCUGUGUAGCAGUUAUGGACUGUGGGCUUUGGCUCCACUGGAGUGCUUGUGCUACAGAACCCUGUAUUCAGGAAGCAGGAACAGCAGGUUAGCUCUCUGGGGUGACUUGCACUGACUUCAGAGAUAUCUGUUGUACCUUGUGAUGCCUUCUGUGUAGUAGCUUCAUUAAAAUCUUUCCACUUUCCAACUGGUGUUUACAAUGCUCAGAAGACAAGAAGAGAGGGUAGGGAAUUACUGGCAAUAAUAAAGGCUAACUCAGUUGUAUUAAUGAA